GGUGAACGCUGGCGGUAGGCCUAACACAUGCAAGUCGAACGGCAGCACUGUAAGAGCUUGCUCUUACGGGUGGCGAGUGGCGGACGGGUGAGGAAUACAUCGGAAUCUACUUUUUCGUGGGGGAUAACGUAGGGAAACUUACGCUAAUACCGCAUACGACCUACGGGUGAAAGCAGGGGAUCUUCGGACCUUGCGCGAUUGAAUGAGCCGAUGUCGGAUUAGCUAGUUGGCGGGGUAAAGGCCCACCAAGGCGACGAUCCGUAGCUGGUCUGAGAGGAUGAUCAGCUACACUGGAACUGAGACACGGUCCAGACUCCUACGGGAGGCAGCAGUGGGGAAUAUUGGACAGUGGGCGCAAGCCUGAUCCAGCCAUACCGCGUGGGUGAAGAAGGCCUUCGGGUUGUAAAGCCCUUUUGUUGGGAAAGAAAAGCAGCAGGUUAAUACCCCGCUGUUCUGACGGUACCCAAAGAAUAAGCACCGGCUAACUUCGU
RNAcentral lists this ribosomal RNA (491 nucleotides) under uncultured bacterium. Its description in RNAcentral is "partial 16S ribosomal RNA". It matches the Rfam family "Bacterial small subunit ribosomal RNA", at positions 28 to 506 of the family's 1533-position model. The record is from RNAcentral.